This is an RNA transcript of Mus musculus (house mouse), 1911 nucleotides long. It is a transcript of the gene named macroH2A.3 histone, with no coding region annotated. The transcript has a single exon. The record is from RefSeq and is marked provisional. NCBI's taxonomy places the organism in Eukaryota, Metazoa, Chordata, Mammalia, Rodentia, Muridae.
GCGGCCGGGAUUGGAGCUCACUAGGCCACCGGUCGCCCGGAGCCCGCAGCACAGCACCAGUAUUGUGUAAGUGCCAAGAGACCACUCUGUCAGCAAGCUAAGAGGAAAAUCGAGGCAAGAUGUCAGGCCGGAGCGGGAAGAAGAAAAUGUCCAAGCUGUCCCAGUCAGCCAAGGCCGGAGUCAUCUUUCCAGUAGGCCGGUUGAUGCGCUACCUGAAAAAGGGAACCUUCAAGUACAGGAUCAGCGUAGGUGCUCAGGUCUACAUGGCUGCGGUCACUGAGUACCUAGCAGCGGAAAUCCUGGAGUUGGCCAGGAACGCUGCGAGGGACAACAAGAAGGCCCGGAUAGCCCCCAGACACAUCCUGCUGGCCGUUGCCAACGACCAGGAACUCAACCAGCUACUGAAAGGAGUGACUAUCGCCAGUGGGGGUGUCCUGCCGAGAAUUCUCCACGAACUGCUGGCCAAGAAGAGGGACCAAAGGCAAGUCAGAGACAAUCCUCUCCCACCCCCAGAGAAAAGAGGAAGGAAGGCCACAUCAGGCAAGAAGGGGGCUAAGAAAUCCAAGGCCACCAAGCCAGGGACGUCGAAGAAGUCUAAAGCAAAGGACAGCAAUAAAGAAGGAACAUCAAAUUCCACCUCGGAGGAUGUGCCGGGGGAUGGCUUCACCAUCUUGUCUUCGAAGAGCCACGUUCUGGGGCAGAAGCUAUCCCUGACCCAGAGUGACAUCAGCCAUAUUGGCUCCAUGAGGGUGGAGGGCAUCGUCCAUCCAACCACAGCUGAGAUCGACCUCAAGGAAGAGAUAGGGAAAGCCUUGGAAAAGGCUGGGGGUAAAGAGUUCUUGGAAACAGUAAAGGAGCUUCGCAAGUCCCAAGGCCCUUUAGAAAUCGCUGAAGCUGCCGUCAGCCAAUCCAGUGGACUCGCAGCCAAAUUUGUCAUCCACUGUCACAUCCCCCGGUGGGGCUCUGACAAAUGUGAAGAACAGCUGGAAGAGACCAUCAAAAACUGCCUGUCUGCAGCUGAGGAUAAGAAGCUUAAAUCCGUCGCCUUCCCACCGUUCCCCAGUGGCAGAAACUGCUUCCCCAGGCCGCCCAGGUGACCCUCAAGGCCAUCUCGGCUCACUUCGAGGACGACUCGGGCUCGUCCUCGCUGAAGAAUGUGUACUUCCUGCUCUUCGACAGCGAGAGCAUCGGCAUCUACGUGCAGGAGAUGGCCAAACUGGACACCAAGUAGCUCUCUCCGGCAGCGGGGGCGAAGGAGGAUCGGCGUGACAUCACAAGAGCGGGGUUUAAAAGGAUUGCAGAAGGGUGACAGGGCAUGAGAACGGAGGGUGGCUGAGAGGGUGAAUGGAGGCGGCGGGAAUGGGUCCUGCCUGCCUGGGGAAGGGGUCCAGUGCAUUUUAUAUUCUCUUUACAAAGGGCCUCUCUUCCACAGUUAACCAGAUCUCCACCAGGGCUUUCUUUCCAUGUGUUUUCCUUCCUGUUGUUUUAGAACUUUUUCAAAAACAAACAAGACAAACAAACAUAAAAAUAAGCCUUGUUUAGAUUUAUAGCAGUGACUUUUACACACGCGCGCGCGCGCACACACACACACACACGCACACACACACACACACACACAAUCCGUUCACAGUUUCUUUGUCUUUAGGUUCUUCCUUUUUCCAAGAGAAAAGGAUGUGACUGCCUAACCUAGGUGUACUGGUUGUCUCCCUCAGUGGAGAAGAUGAGAAGAACAUCUUGGGGUGCUUUUCUGUUAUAGGGUCCCCUCUCUGAUACCUAAAAUAUUUGUAACUACACCUAAAAGGGUUUUUGCUUCGGGAUUUUUGUUUGUUGGGUUUUUUGUUCUUUUAAAGAAAAAGAAAAAUGAGAAGAAGAAGAAGAAGAAGAAAAAAAGAUCCAGUGUUUUUCUUAAUU